RNAcentral lists this ribosomal RNA (722 nucleotides) under uncultured eukaryote. RNAcentral's name for it is "SSU rRNA". It matches the Rfam family "Eukaryotic small subunit ribosomal RNA", at positions 672 to 1426 of the family's 1831-position model. The record is from RNAcentral.
GGUAUCGCCGUUAGUCAUGUGCAAAUAUGGAUAGCUGUUUUAGCCGUCUUUAUUGACUGGUUUAUAAGAGUUAUCAGAUAUCACUUUGAUUAAAUUAGAGUGCUUAAAGCAAGUGUGUUACUUGGAUAUAAAUGCAUGGAAUGAUGGAGUAUGUUGUUAUUCUAUUUGUUGGUUUUUGAAUGAUAAAAUGAUUGAAAGGAACUGUUGGGGGCAUUCGUAUUGUUGUGAGAGAGGUGAAAUUCUUAGACCACAGCAAGACGAACUACUGCGAAAGCAUUUGCCAAGAAUGUUUUCAUUGAUCAAGAACGAAAGUUAGAGGUUCGAAGGCGAUCAGAUACCGCCCUAGUUCUAACCAUAAACUAUGCCAACUAGCAAUUUGCUUUGUAUUUUUUAUGACUAAGUGAGAGGCCACGGGAAACCUAAGUAGGGUUAUGGGGGAAGUAUGGUUGCAAAGCUGAAACUUAAAGGAAUUGACGGAAGGGCACCACCAGGAGUGGAGCCUGCGGCUUAAUUUGACUCAACACGGGAAAACUUACCUGGUCCUGACACUAGAAGGAUUGACAGAUUGAUAGCUCUUUCUUGAUUUGGUGGAUGGUGGUGCAUGGCCGUUCUUAGUUGGUGGAGUGAUUUGUCUGGUUAAUUCCGAUAACGAACGAGACUCUAGCCUAUUAAAUAAUACACGUAAUUUUAUCUUCCGCGGUAUUUCUUAGUGGGAUCAAGCG